GACGAACGCUGGCNGGCGUGCCUAACACAUGCAAGUCGCACGGAACCCGCAAGGGUUCAGUGGCGGACGGGUGCGUAACACGUGAGGAACAUGCCUAUCGGCGGGGGAUAGCCGGCCCAACGGCCGGGUAAUACCGCGUACGCUCAUCGGGGGGCAUCCCCUGGUGAGGAAAGCAGCAAUGCACCGAUAGAGUGCCUCGCGGCCUAUCAGCUAGUUGGUGAGGUAAUGGCUCACCAAGGCAACGACGGGUAGCUGGUCUGAGAGGAUGAUCAGCCACAUUGGGACUGAGACAGGGCCCAGACUCCUACGGGAGGCAGCAGUGGGGAAUCUUGCGCAAUGGCCGAAAGGCUGACGCAGCGACGCCGCGUGUGGGAUGACGGCCUUCGGGUUGUAAACCACUGUCGGAAGGGACGAAUGGCCCGCAAGGG
This 428-nucleotide ribosomal RNA is filed under the name uncultured bacterium. Its description in RNAcentral is "bacterial SSU rRNA". It matches the Rfam family "Bacterial small subunit ribosomal RNA", at positions 28 to 467 of the family's 1533-position model. The record is from RNAcentral.